This 435-nucleotide ribosomal RNA is filed under the name Epicadus heterogaster. Its description in RNAcentral is "partial 16S ribosomal RNA". The record is from RNAcentral. Lineage: Eukaryota; Metazoa; Arthropoda; Arachnida; Araneae; Thomisidae.
UUUUAUUAGAACUUAUUAAUAAUAAAACCUGCUCAAUGAAAAUUAAAUAGCCGCAUUUGUGCUAAGGUAGCAUAAUAAUUUGUUUUUUAAUUAAAAACUAGAACAAAAGGUUUAACAUUUCAAUUUAUUUUUUUAUUUUUUUAAUAUAAAUUAUUUUAUAUGUAAAAAAACAUUUAUUUCUAAAAAAGACGAUAAGACCCUAUUGAACUUUACUUUAGUUAAACUGGGGAAGUUAAUUAAAUAUAAUUUUAAUUUAAUUUAUUUAACUAAUGACCUAAUUUAAUUAAUCACCUGAUCAAGUUACCAUAGGGAUAACAGCGUAAUAUAAUUUUAAAGCCCUUAUUUUAAAUUAAUUUUGCGACCUCGAUGUUGACUAAUAUUCUUUAUCUCGCAAAAGAGAUAAAAGAAAGUCUGUUCGACUUUUAAAAAAUUACA